Molecule: unclassified non-coding RNA, 254 nt
Filed under: uncultured Acidimicrobiia bacterium
Lineage: Bacteria; Bacillati; Actinomycetota; Acidimicrobiia
Description: contains 16S-23S intergenic spacer region
Rfam family: Bacterial small subunit ribosomal RNA
Source: RNAcentral
GACGUAGGGGGCAAGCGUUGUCCGGAUUUAUUGGGCGUAAAGAGCUCGUAGGCGGCUUGGUAAGUCAGGUGUGAAACCUCCAGGCUCAACCUGGAGACGCCACCUGAUACUGCCAUGGCUAGAGUCCGGUAGGGGCGCGUGGAAUAUCCGGUGUAGCGGUGAAAUGCGCAGAUAUCGGGUGGAACACCAGUGGCGAAGGCGGCGCGCUGGGCCGGAACUGACGCUGAGGAGCGAAAGCGUGGGUAGCAAACAGG